GGUUGCGAUCAUACCAGCACUAAUGCACCGGAUCCCAUCAGAACUCCGCAGUUAAGCGUACUUGGGCGAGAGUAGUACUAGGAUGGGUGACCCCCUGGGAAGUCCUCGUGUUGCAACCCC
RNAcentral lists this ribosomal RNA (120 nucleotides) under Helianthus annuus (common sunflower). RNAcentral also lists the same sequence under 1 other name. The record is from RNAcentral. Lineage: Eukaryota; Viridiplantae; Streptophyta; Magnoliopsida; Asterales; Asteraceae.